Molecule: long non-coding RNA, 445 nt
Filed under: Heterocephalus glaber (naked mole-rat)
Lineage: Eukaryota; Metazoa; Chordata; Mammalia; Rodentia; Bathyergidae
Description: lncRNA (ENSHGLG00100037172.1)
Source: RNAcentral
CACGCACAGGCAGAAGAGAAAGAAUGAGACACCACCAGAAGUUAGCAAGCUGGAUCCUCCUUGCUUUUGCAUCCAGAAGUGCCUGGAACCUCCCAAGCAGAGUACAGGAGGAUGCUGGCCCGCGGUGUGCCACCGACAACUUUCAGCACCACGGACGGCGCCUAUCCCACGUGGGCUCCCGGGCGCUCUCCCCGACCCCAGAUCCCCGAGGAGUCAGAUCGCGGCUGGCCCUUGCCCAACUCCAGUCAGAGACUGCCCCCGCCACCCUUCCCAGAGCGGGUUCAAGAACAACUCAAUGAACCUGAGCUUCGCACAGGCUUGUCACGGGUCUCCGGGGACAGAUGCCCAGGCAGCGCACCAGCCUCACCGGCCGCCAGGCUCAGCAGGAGUCAGUCCCUUUGAAGAGUUUGCUCUCAGCCACAGUCCUUCUCUGCCAGGUCCAGAU